GCAUUGAUUCACAUAGGAUAAUGUGAAGCUCCAUCCAUGUUGCUGUAAAGGACAUGAUUUUAUUCUUUUUUAUGGCUGUGUGGUGUUCCGUGGUGUAUAUGUGCCACAUUUUCUUUGUUCAGUCCACUGUUGAUGGGUAUGUAGGUUGAUUCCAUGUCUUUGCUUUUUUGAAUAGUGCUGCGAUGGACAUAUGAGUACAUGUUGUCUUUUUAUUAGAAUGAUUUAUAUUCCUUUGGGUAGGUACCCAGGAAUGGGAUUGCUGAGUUGAAUGGCAGUUCUUUCUGUUUUAGGUUCUUUAGAAAUUUCCAAACUGCUUUCCACAGUGGCUGAAAUUUACAUUCCCCCCACCACUGUAUAAGCAUUCAGUUUUCUCCACAACCUCAUCAGCAGCUGUUAUUUUUUGACUUUUUAACAAUAGCCCUUCCAACUGUUGUGAGAUGGUUCUUAUUUUGGUUUUGAUUUGCAUUUCUCUAAAGCUCAGUGAUGUUGAGCAUUUUUUCAUAUGUUUGUUGUCCAUGUGUAUAUCUUGUUUUGAGAAUUGUCUGUUCAUGUCCUUUGCCCAUUUUUUAUGGGUUUUUUUGCUUUUUAAUUUGUUUAAGUUCCUUAUAGAUCCUGGCUAUGGGACCUUUGUAGGAUGCAUAGUUUGCGAAUUUUUUUCUCCCAUUCUGUAGGUUGUCUGUUUACUGUGUUGAUAGUUUCUUUUGCUGUGUAGAGGCUCUUUAGUUUAAUUAGGUCUUUCUUUUCAAUUUUUGUUUUUGUUGCAGUUGCUUUUGGAGUCUUCAUAUGAAAUCUUUGCCAGGGCCUAGAUUCAGAAUGGUAUUGCCUAGAUUUUCUUUUAGAGUUUUUAUAGUUUAAGGCUUUACAUGUAAGUCUUUAAUCCAUCUUGAAUGGAUUUUUGUGUAUGGUAAAAGGAAAGGGUUCAGUUUCAAUCUUCUGCAUAUGGCUAGGCAGUUAUCCCAGCACUCUUUAUUGAAUAGGGAGUCCUUUUCCCAUUACUUAUUGUUGACUUUGUUAAAGAUCAGAUGGUUUUAGGUGUGUGGCUUUAUUUUUGGGUUCUCUAUUCUGUUCCAUUGUUUUAUGUGUCUGUUUUUUUUUUUUUUCCAGUACCAUGCUGUUUUGGUUACUGUAGCCUGGUAGUAUAGUUUGAAGUCAGAUAGUGUGAUACCUCUGGCUUUUUUCUUUUUGCUUAGGAUGGUUUUGGGUAUUCAGGCUAUUUUUCAGUUCCAUAUGAAUGUUAGAUAUUUUUUCUAGUUCUGUGAAAAAUGUCAUUGGUAGCUUGAUAGGAGUAGCAUUGAAUCUGUAAAUUACUUUGAGCAGCAUGGCCAUUUAAAUAAUAUUGAUUCUUCCUAUCCAUGAGUAAGGAAUAUCUUUCCAUUUGUGUUGUUUCCGAUUUCUUCAGCAACAUUUUGUAAUUCUCAUCGUAGAGCUCUUUCACCUCCCUGUUGAGCUGUAUGCCUAGGUAUUUUAUUUCUUUUGUGGCUAUUGUGAAUGGGAUUGCAUUCUUGAUUUGGCUCUCAGCUUGGACGUUAUUGCUGAAAUGCUACUGAUUUUUUUGACAUUGAUUUAGUAUCCUGAAACUUUGCAGAAGUUGUUUAUCAGAUCUAGGAACCAUUGGGUAGAGAGCAUGGGGUUUUAUAAGUGUAGAAUCAUAUCAUCUGUGAACAGAGAUAGUAUGACUUCCUUUUAAUUUGGAUGCCUUUCAUUUGUUUCUCUUGCCUAAUUGCUUUGGCUGAAAUUUCCAGUACUAUGUUGAAUAGUUGUGGUGAGAGUGGGCAUGCUUGUCUUGUUCCGGUUUUCAAGGGAAAUGUCUCUAGCUUUUGCCUAUUUAGUAUGAUGUUUGCUGUGGAUUUGUCAUAACUGGCUCUUUUUAUUUAAGGUAUGUUCCUUCAAUGUCUAGUUUGUUGAAAAUUUUUAACACAUGUUAAAUUUUAUCAAAAGCCUUUUCUGCACCUAUUGAGAUGAUCAUAUGGUUUUUGUUUUUAGGUUUGUUUAUGUGUUGAAUCACAUUUACUGAUUUACAUAUGUUGACCCAACCUUGUAUAACAGGAAUAAAGCCAUUUUGAUCAUGGUAGAUUAGGUUUUUGAUGUGCUGCUGGUUUUGGUGUGCUAGUGUUUGUUGAGGAUUUUUACAUCUAUAUUCAUCAGGGAUAUUGGUCUAAAGUUUUCUUUUUUCGUUGUGUUUCUACAAAGUUAUGGUAUCAGAAUGAUGCUAGCUUCAUAGAAUGAUUUGACGAGGAGUCCCUUCUCAUUUUUUGGAAUAGUUUAGUAGGGUUGGUUUCAGCUCUUCUUUAUAUGUUGGGUGGAAUUUGGCUGUCAAUCUAUCUUUUCCAGGACUUCUUCUGGGUGUAGGCUUUUUAUUACUGAUCAAUUUUGAAAUUCACUAUUGGUCUGUUCAGGGUUUCAAUUUCCUUCUGAUUCAAUCUUGGGAGGUUGUAUGUUUUGAGGAACUUAUCCAUUUUUCUCUAAGAUUUCUAGUUUGUGUAGGUAGAGGUGUUCCUAAUAGUCUCUGAGAGUUUUUUUUUUUUAUUUCUGUGGGGUCAGUUGUAAUGUUCACUUUGUCAUUUCUGAUUGUGUUUAUUUGGACUUCUUUCCUUUUUUCUUUAUUUGUCUAGCUAGUGGUCUGUCAAUCUUAUUUAUUCUUUCAGAGAACGACGUUUUGGUUUCAUUGACCUUUUGUAUAGUUUUUCAUGUCUUAGUUUUGUUCAGUCAGCUCUGAUUUUGGUUUUUUCUUCUGCUAGCUUUGGGGUUAGUUUACUUUUUUUUUUUUUGGUUGCUCUAGGUGUGAUUUUAGGUUGUUAAUUUGAGAUCUUUCUAACUACUUGAUGUAGGUGUUUAGUGCUAUAUACUUUCCUUUGAAGACUGCUUUAGCUCUGUCUCAGAGAAUCUGGUAUGUCAUUUCUUCCUUUUCAUUAGUUUCAAAAAAUUUAUUGAAUUCUGUCUUAAUUUCAUUGUUUACCCAAAGUCAUUCAGGAACAGAUUGUUUAAUUUCCACAUAAUUAUAUGAUUUUGAGAGAUCUAUUCUUGUACUGUGGUUAA
This 3036-nucleotide long non-coding RNA is filed under the name Homo sapiens (human). RNAcentral describes it as "HSALNT0328344". Lineage: Eukaryota; Metazoa; Chordata; Mammalia; Primates; Hominidae. The record is from RNAcentral.